GCUAACAAGAAGAGAUUAAAACGUGUCUCUUAAUAUUCCCAAGGGACAGAAGGACCUAUGGGGACAGAAGGGGGCUGCAGGAAGCCGGCCAGAGCGUCACACAGUAAGGCUGGCCUUCGAGGAGAGGGAGGGCUGGCCCCAGCUCCCUUCCCCAGGCCUCACUGGGUGAGCCCUGCUGCGAAGGCUCCCCAGUCCCUGGCCGGCAGCCAGGCAAGCAGCAGCGGCCUCGCCAAGCUGCAUCCCGUGAUAGCCUGAGUGGCUGGCGAUGGAAAUACGCGCGCUUGGCGUUAUCUGCCUCCAGCAAGCAACAGACUUCUCCGUCCGUUAUGCGACAUGGACAAGAUUGAGUUGCUGCUAUGGAAAGAAGAGUACUGUGUCUACUGCUUUGCUCUGUUUGUUUCUCCCUCCCACUAGACCAGUGGUUCUCAAUGGGGGAGGUUUUGCCUCCCGAGAGACACCUGACAAUGUCUGGAGACAUCCUGGGUACUCACACGUAGGAGGGGAGGGUGGGAGAGAGACUGACAUCGAGUGGGUAGUGCCAGGGCUGCUGCUGAACAUUCUGCACCGCACAGG
This is a long non-coding RNA of Heterocephalus glaber (naked mole-rat), 573 nucleotides long. The record is from Ensembl. NCBI's taxonomy places the organism in Eukaryota, Metazoa, Chordata, Mammalia, Rodentia, Bathyergidae.